CUUCGCCGGGAGGAGAGAGGUCAUUUGUUUGGAAUUACCGUAUUGAGCGAGACUCGGGACUCCCGCGGGUUGAUCUUUGCGCCAAAUAUGGGGGUCCCGCGCAGGGGAAAUAUAUCAGCACAAUUCUGCCGUGCCGGAUUUGGGGCGUAAUGACGGGUCAUUAAGAUUAUAAUAAAGUGGGAAUCGAUCUUUGCAGCACAAUUCUGAGUGAGGAAUAGUUUUUAUACAUAGAAUUAAAUCUUAUGGAAAAGAGAUAAAUUAUUACUAUAGAAUUUGAGCAAUUCAACGAAAUCGCCCAGUUCGUCCAUUUUUAUUUUUUGUAUUUUUUUUUUUUAUUUGACUCAAACUUUUUAGGGGCCUUUCCUAUGACUAAAGAAGCCAUUUUGUGUCAUUAGUUCACACAUACAAUUUUUACAGCUGUUCAGUAUAAGUAACGGAUUUAUUUUUAUUUUGCCGAUUUUUUUCCGCUAAAACCCAUGUCCCAAAUUUAUGGAAAGUUUUAGGAAACAAAAACCGCAACCUUUGGAUCAUAAAAAAGUACAGACAAAAACACAAAGCUAUGAUUUUGUAAAUGUAAAAUCAAAUUGUAAAUGUUGUGUAAAACCUUUUUUUAUCGCAAAGUACUACAGUUUUUUUUUAUAAUGUGCACCGUUUUCAAUAGUGCGUCCAUCCCGGGAUUUUUUCAAAACCGGGAAUUCCCGAAUCCAGGGAAUUUUCAUAAUUUGUUCCAGGAAUUCCCGAAAUUGAAAAAAAAUAUAUCAAAUUUUGGUCUGGAAAUUCAGGUUGUAGAAAUAGAUGAACAAUUAAAUACAUAAAAAUCAAUUCGAAUUUUAAAGCAUUAAAAUUUGUACUCAGCAUAUAUCAGCUUUAAUUUGGCUUAUUAGGGAAAAUGGUUUAAAUUCAAGUCCGCAAAAUGCCUGGCGCUUUGAAUAUCUUCUAUUUAAUUUUAUGUUUUUUUUUUAAGACUGGGUAUUAUAGUUAUUUUUACGAUCUUAAAUUUGAAAAAAAAAAUAUCAUCUUAAAUUAUUUUCCAUCAAACACCGGAAUCAAAACAAUUAGUACACCGAAAAUUGGACGCCCUAGUUUCCAAGAUACCACUACUUAAUAUUGAAUUUAACUGAAAAUUCCCGUUUUUCGAUUUUUUGAAUAAAAAUCAUUCCAGAAAAAAAAAACUUCGAAAAGUUCAGAAAAUUUCCAAUAAAAUUGCUGAAGAAGCAUGAAGAGGACCUCUGGAUACUGAAAUCAGGGUUACAAGGUAAAAAAAUAAAUUCUGGCUGGUCUGCGUGGUUUAUGGAUGACCCCAAUGCAAAUUUCUCCGCAACUAAUGGUCCAAUUUUCAAUGUUAAAAAAUUAAAAAUUAAAAAAAAAAUGUAAAUCAAGACUAACAUUUUAAAUUGGCGUGAUAUUGAAUGUUUGGCCCUUUUGCAUUUAGCAAUUUUUCAUUAUUAGUUUUCCAUACAAAAAUGGGUACGUAGGGUAUUUUAACCAUUAGUGGACCCCCUAGUAGAGCCGAAGCACAUUUUUCACAAAUUUUCAAUAUUUUAAGCACUUUUUCAUAACCUUUUGUACAAAACAAUUAAAUCUGAAGUCUCUUGAACAAUUUUGACUAUUUGUUUUAUCAGUUAUUUGUUUUUGAGCAGAAAAAUAGUCAUUUGAAGAAAAAAAAUUUUUGCCUGUUAUGGACCCCCUUUUCCUAUAGUGGACCCGGGUCCAUAAUCCGAUUGUGGACCCGGGUCCACUAUAGGCAAACUGUUAUUUUUAUACCAAAUUUAACCGAUAUUUGAUGUUUUGAUGCAUGGUGUAGGUCUAAUGAUAGAUAUAAUGAAUAAAAGAUGGAUUUUGCUCACUUUUCAUCAUAAACAAAUAUGUUUUGUUAACAAAUUUGGCUUUAAACAACAAAAAAAAACCUAACAGAUAGUGGAACUAUACCCUUUUUCAGCCUAUUUCUAUUAUCAUCCUAUCAGCACUUUGAUCAUGUAUUCCAACUUUCAUAAAGUGUUUUGACUGUUCCAAAGUAAUGAAUAGCUCAAAUAAAAGUGAGCAAGCAACUCUCCAUUGUUGAUAUAUCUGUAAAUGUUGAUUUAAUAGAGGAAAACGGCGAAAGUGAUGAGAACGGCUUAGAGUGAUUAAAAUGGGUAUAUUUCCCCUAUUUAAACACAUUUAUUUCGGAAAAAGAUCAGAGAAAACGUUUCAAAUACCACUGCAAACAUAAAUAUAAUAAAAAAAAAAGUAAUCUUGAUGCAAAUUUUUCCGUAUUAAUUACAUAAAUGGUUGACCGAAACUAAACAUUAGAUUUGUUUACAGUUGCUGAUAAAACCACGCAUGUUUAUUUAAAAAAAUGUUUUUUUUUUAUUGAUUUGUUAUUAUAAAAUAUCUUUUCAAACUGCAGUUAUGAUGCUUCAGUUAAGUACAAUUAACUAUAGUUUUGAUUAAUUAUAAAUUCUUACGGCUUCAGCUUUUUUGGUACUUUUAACAUGAAAACAGCUAUAUUUAUACUCAUAAUUGAAAAAAUAUGCGUUUAGGUUGAUAAAAACAAGCAUUUAUUGUAUGUUUCAGAGAAACUUUUGCUUGGAUACACAGUUUUCUUCAUUUUUGAAGGUUAAAUUAACAGGGGUCCACUUUUGGAAAAGUUUGGAUUUUAGUUGUCCUAUAUUGGACCCCCCUAAUUUUUGCUCGAAAAUGGCAGUUCUUCGCUAAAAAGUAAAGUAAAGAUCCUUAAACUUACAUUAUUUCGACUUGCUGAAGUUAAAUAAUCAGUCAAAAAAUGAUUGGAUGGUUAAUUCAAUCAUAAAAUAUAAAUGCAGUUUUGUUGUGAAAAUGCUAGUGGCCAUGGCUGAUUUCAGAUGUCGAACUCAAAACACUUAUUUUGGUAAAAAGGACAAUUCAAUGUCAGUCAACAUUGUUUUAAAUGAUGCUGAACAUGCCAAAUAAAAGAAUUGUAGACAACAACACGCUUGAAAUUGUGAUUUUAUUGAACUUUUCAUCAAAAACCCUUCAGAGGGUCCACUAUUGGAAAGGGGUCCACUAAUGGAUAACGCACCCUAUAUAUGUAUAUGAAAUUCUGAAUCUUUAGAUGUUGAUUAAAAAAAUAGAAAAAUAGAAAGAAGCCACCCCAAAAAUAUUUUUGAAAAGCUUAGAAAAUUUCUUACAAUUUUCUCUCUGAGACUUUCAAAUUCGGAUAAUUAGUUUCUGAGAUACAGCCUCACAAAUAUUUUGAAUGGAAAUUUGGUUUUCUAAGUGACACCUAAUUUUCCUGUGAUUUCCAACUGACGAUAUCUCGGAAACUAUUCAUUCGAUUUUCAAUGUUUUGUGAAAUUUUCUGAUUUUUAAUGACAAAAAAUAUUGCAAAAUUUUAAAAUCAAGCACAACUUUGGAAAAGGUCAAAAUAGAUAAUUGCCCUCAUUUAAUAUUUUUUACCGAAUAAAAAAAAAUUAUUAUUUUUAUUGAAAGACUUGAAAAUUUCACACGAGUUUCAUAUUCAUUGAAAAAAAAACGAACGAAGCCAUAAACCACAAAUUUAAAAAAAAAGGUCAUUGAAAAGACUUUAUAAUCUCACAAAAGUUUAAUAUUCAUUUGAAGAAACAAAAGAAGCCAUAAAUCACACGAAGGGUGCCACAUAUUUCUGAUUUUAUUUGAUUUAUUCUAUUUUUGGAUUGUACAAAAAUGGAAAAUAAUUUAAAUAUUUUACAAAAUAUUUUAAAAUGAUUUUAAAUAAACUAAAAUGUAGGAAAAUAUGUUUUGAAAAUUGAGCAAUUCACUGCUCACCGAAUUUAUUACUGCCCAGAAGUCAGGUCAAAAAGAUCAAACUGAAACCAUUGCAUUCAAUGUUUCAUAAAACCAGCAAAAAUGUCGAAGCAUGUGCAUGACUUUGCCUCAGACCAAUUAUGAAUGUUUUGAUCACUUUUCAAGAAAUCAAUUUUAUAAAUGUUAAUCAAACAUUUAAAACAAAGCAAAACUAGUUAGAAAACAGAUCACACGAAACUAUCGCAACCAGCUGAUCCGGUCGCUCUCGUUCUUGGCACGGUUUCAGUCGGUCCCGACUAUGGUGCGCUUUUCGUGGAAACGAGAUCAAAAUAAAACAGACAGAGUUUCGCCAAAUUUUAGCGACUGUCAAUAGCGGCCCGAGACAGGUUCCGAGUAACAGACUUAUCUGACAAAAAUAAACGGCGGGAAAUCCCUUACUUCACACUGAAAAUGAAAUAUUAAAACGUAAGUCCGUCUUUUUACUCUGAGAAAUGACGUUGACACGAUGUCCCGACAUGCAAGUUCGUAGACCUGCUUAUAUUGUGUCAUAAUUGCGUACAAUUAUUACAUAAGUGGUUCACGUAUUAGUAAUCACACAUUCUAGUCCCUCACACAUCGGAUGCCACCCUUGACAUUGCGUUAGUCAGCGUUCGGACUUGAAGGACUUGACAUGACUUUGGCUGAAGGAAGCCGGUGCGUGUGAGUAAUGCAGUGUCAAUGUUUCGACAAUGUUUUAUUUAUAAACAAUAUUUAUCGCCCGCCACUUUCUUCGCCGUCAGGCCACCGAAUGCGUGACACGGGGUGGCGUUUACUGAUCGGGAGAUUUUUUUUUUUCAUAUAAAUUAAGCUGAAUCACUCUGUCUUGGUUUGGCGGUUUGUACUGGUUUGGUGGUACAGGGAAAUCACUGGUAGCUUGUGACGUAAAUUGAUGAUAGGUUCCUUUCGUGUCAGCAUACAUUGUGCUAGUUUCUUGGUAGUGUUGUUGAAAAAACAACUCACAAAAAUAACAUAAGGAAUUUCUUCUAGUUGUUAUUAUUUAUUACAGUUUUAAGAAAAGAAUUGCAAUUUUUCAAGCUUACCAUGAUAAUAAAAAUAAUGGUUUAACCAUCGCAAACGUUGACCGUGAGCGAUUACGAUCUUAAACUAGUCAGCGAUUGGAUGCUCUCCUCUCCCUUUUGAAUCAAAUCGCUCACGAAUUACAAGGAAUCGCCUCAGAAGAGAACCGUGCGCACGAGAAGACGACAUCUAAUCGCGAGUGAGCGACGAUUGAGUUAUGGCCGCUUUGAUCGCUAAACUCUCUCGAUUAUUGUGGAAAACCGGAGAGUAGAGAGUUGACACUCUCACGUGAGGGGAAAGGUUUUACGCAGUGAUUCAUGAGAGAGCAAGAAUGCGAUCCCAGCAUGCUGUUUUCUUUCGUCAACGUUGCUCAGCUGUGGAGAAGUGAUAAUAUUUUUUAAUUUUUUUUAAAUUUCUAGGCCUAUCUUGACAAAUAAGGUUAACUAACAAAAUGUACCAUAUUUGUUUAUAUUAAAACAAUUAUCCCAAGAAAAUUCUUAAAUUUUUCAACAAUUCCCGAAAAAUCAGUCUCGAAAAGGUCGCCAACUCUGAAAUCACCGUUCCAUCUUUAGAACCGCACUCACACCACCACCACAAAUCAAAACGAACAGCUUUCGUUUGCAAAACACAGAGUCACACCACAUUACAGGACAUGAAAAUUUUGAAAAACUGUCGUCGACGACAAACGGCCUCUUGCUUCCGAGAACCCGGCCCCGGGUCAGCAGUACUUGUAAAACGAUCGAACGACCGAGACAUCUCGCGAAACGGCGCCAAUUCGCGCGAACCUAUAGUGUGACGAACCAAGAGUGUGUGUGAUUUUUCGAAGAAUUUGAGAAUAUUUUGGGGAAGCAGUUUGUUAAAAGUUGUUUCCAGGAAACUACGAAAAUUGUGAUUUAAUUUCGAACCAAGAAAAAAGACUUCGCAAAGUGCAAAAAAACGCCACUGAAAGCAAAGUGCUGUUUAUACAUAUUUUAACGAGAAUAAUAAACGAGAUAAAAAUAUAACGAAAAAGGAAAAGCUGCAGGAUUCCAAAAUCAGCCAAGGAAUUUAUCUGCGAUAUCGCAGAAUGACACUUACGCCACAGUUUGUCGUAACCCAUUAAAAAGAAAAACCCCUUGUAACCGAUCGAAACUUGAAAACACAUACAAAUUUUUCAGCAAAAAAUGUCAAAAACUAGACAAAAUAAAACACAUACUUCUGAUAAUAAAACAGCUCAUUUAUGUAAUUUUUGUAAUUUUUAUAAUUUUAGUAAUUUUUGUAGUUUUUUAAUUUUGUGAUUUUUGUAAUUCUUGCAUUUUUUGUAAUUUUUUGUAACGUUUUAUAUUUUUAAAAUUUUUAAAGUUUUCAAAUGAUUGAAAUGUUAGUGUUGGGACGGUGUGUAGUUUAUGGACACGUCCUUAUUGUGUACAUUCUGAAGAACAAUACUAAUGUGAACCUUUGUGACGAAUAAAGAUCUGACGAUCACUCUCUUCUUCAUCCAGCCACCGUCCUAGACGGUUGGUCUGAAGUGUAGUGUAGCUCUAUUGUUUUAUUUCUGCUGCUAUCCGUUGGUCAUCUGGGAACCUGCAAUCAAUCAACACAACGUACUAUGGGUCCUACUGCUUUGCGCGAUCAUAAUGGUGCCGUGACCGCGUCUGAUCCAGGUGAGCCACGGAAGCUGGGCAAUCGCUGCGCGGAAUUUGCUGGGCUAGACAUCUGCACACUUCUCGACAUGGGGCCUCGGACGGCCAUUUUGCCAGAACGAUUUCGGUCGCUCCCCAACAGCGGCGACGCACCGGGAUGUUCGUCGAGGAAGUCGCUCUGCAGAUGGGUCUACGGGCAAUUUCCGGCAUUCUUCAUCGACUUGUUGAACCUGCACUGGAACACUCGCUCUCCAGCUUCGCCAAGGUCAACUUUCAUCCAAGCUGCACCGCAACCACAUCGCACAAUCCAUCGUGCAAGAAGCAAAGAAGAGCACCGGUAAGGAGGGGUCGUCCACGAACACCGUAACGGAACAUCAACAUCUGCUCAUUCAUCAUGCAACCCGUGUGUGAUAAUUCUAAACCUACGGUUUAGGGGGGGGAGUAUGUUGGGACGGUGUGUAGUUUAUGGACACGUCCUUAUUGUGUACAUUCUGAAGAACAAUACUAAUGUGAACCUUUGUGACGAAUAAAGAUCUGACGAUCACUCUCUUCUUCAUCCAGCCACCGUCCUAGACGGUUGGUCUGAAGUGUAGUGUA
This is a long non-coding RNA of Culex pipiens pallens (northern house mosquito), 7019 nucleotides long. RefSeq lists it as uncharacterized. The transcript is spliced from 2 exons. Lineage: Eukaryota; Metazoa; Arthropoda; Insecta; Diptera; Culicidae. The record is from RefSeq and is a predicted model, not a curated record.